UUGAUAGUNACCAUCAUUAANUUGGGUACUCUAUUGAGACUGCCGCUGACAAGGCGGAGGAAGGUGGGGACGACGUCAAGUCAUCAUGGCCCUUACGACCAGGGCUACACACGUGCUACAAUGGGUAUUACAGAGGGCUGCGAAGGUGCGAGCUGGAGCNAAACUCAAAAAGGUACUCUUAGUCCGGAUUGCAGUCUGCAACUCGACUGCAUGAAGUCGGAAUCGCUAGUAAUCGCAGGUCAG
This 243-nucleotide ribosomal RNA is filed under the name Francisella tularensis. RNAcentral's name for it is "partial 16S ribosomal RNA". It matches the Rfam family "Bacterial small subunit ribosomal RNA", at positions 1108 to 1352 of the family's 1533-position model. The record is from RNAcentral. Lineage: Bacteria; Pseudomonadati; Pseudomonadota; Gammaproteobacteria; Thiotrichales; Francisellaceae.